CACUGCUCGCGGUGCGGCAGCCGCGCGCGGACUCCGCUGCGCCUCCGAGGGGGCCAGGCACGCGGUCAAGAUCUGUGGCCACUGGUUCCCAUGGUUUCGAGGCACCAUGAGGCACGCUGGCUCUUGGAAACUUUGGCUCUGGGCAGCACUUCUCCUGCUUCCUGCUUCCACUUCCGUGACGGUUAGGGACAAGCCAGAAAAGCAGUGUCCUGUACUGAGAACAGAGGAGCAUCAGUUUACACAAGACAAUGGAGAUAAACUUGAAGUUUCAGGUUUUGACCUAGGAGAGAGUUUUUCUAUGAGACGUGUGUUUUGUGAAGGUGAUAAAACCUGUUUCAAAUUGGGAAGUUCUCUUCUUAUUAGAGACACCAUUAAGGUAUUUCCCAAAGGCCUUCCUGAGCAUUUCGCGAUGGUGGCCAUGUUUCGGGUACGAAGAAGCACCAAAAAGGAACGGUGGUUUCUGUGGCAGGUUUUAAACCAGCAGAAUAUGCCACAGGUGUCUAUAGUAAUUGAUGGUGGAAAGAAGGUGGUGGAGUUUAUGUUCCGAGCUGCCGAGGGAGAUGUGUUGAACUUCAUUUUUAAAAAUCGAGAACUCCGUUCUUUGUUUGAUCGUCAGUGGCAUAAACUUGGCAUUGGCAUACAAUCCCAGGGCAUUUCACUCUAUAUGGACUGUAACUUAGUUGCAAGCCAGAAUACUGAUGGAAAAGGUGCUUUGGACUUUCGUGGAAGGACAAUUAUUAUGGCUCGAGCUUCAGAUGGCAAGCCUGUGGAUGUUGAACUUCACCAACUUAAAAUCUACUGUGACUUGAACUUCAUAGCUCAAGAAACUUGUUGUGAGAUGUCAGACACUAAGUGCCCAGAGCAGGUUGGCUUUGGAAGUACUGCAUCUUUAUCAGUACCUGCGUAUGCCAGUCGAAUGUCUGCAUUUCUGCCAGCAAAGCAGGAACUAACAGACCAGUGCCAGUGUAUUCCAGAGAAGGGAGAAGCAGGAUUACAGGGAGCUCCAGGCUCACCGGGCCAGAAAGGAGACAAAGGACAGCAGGGUGAAGUUGGUCUUAAAGGUGAAUCAGGCGCUCCUGGAAUUCCUGGUGAAAAGGGUGAAAAUGGUUUACGUGGAGUUCCAGGAUUACCCGGUCAAAAGGGAGAGCAAGGUUUUGAAGGCCUUAAAGGAGAAAUUGGUGAAAAGGGUGAACAAGGAGAAAAAGGAGAUCCAGGUUUGGCUGGCGUUAAUGGCCAAGAUGGUUCGAAAGGCGAUGUGGGUCCUCGUGGUCCACCUGGCCCAAAAGGAGAAAAGGGAGAUAUGGGACCUCCAGGACCACCAGCCUUAACUGUAAGUAUUUUAGAAAUCAAAAUUCAAAUACCUUACCCUGUUUAUUAUUCAUAUUACAUCAUGACUAAACCAGAAUAUAAGCCAUCGGAUAUUUCCAGAAUUAAAAGUGACUUCAGAGUAGAUCUAGGUAAGCCUCCAGAUUUUAAAGAUGGGACAUCUACCCAUGACCGUGAAGGACUUAACCUAAGGUCAUGCAGGGAGUCACUAGAAAAGUCUGGAAGCAGUGCAUAACCUGAGCAAUAUGGUUCAUACCCACCUUAUGGUUCAUAAUUUUGCCCCUUAAAAGUUUGAUUAUACAUUCUUAAUAUGACAUUCAACAUGACAUUUAAAGUUAAUGGAAGCAGGGACAGUUCUACUUACUCCAAAAAUUGUAAAAACUACAAAAUAAACUAUAAUCACCCAAUGUGUAAAAAUAGCUACCUGUUUAAACUGAUUGUUACACUCUCCAAAACCUGUUCAUGACCAUUGUUUUUGCCUAAGAUUUGCUUCUAUGAUUCACAAAUGAUAAGAUGGCAAUAUUUCAGUAACAGAUUUAUGGGAGACGUUCAUAAUGUGCACAUGAUGAGGUUGUUCUCAAUUAAAUGGUUCAUCAUUUAUUAAACAUUUAAUCAUAAAUAUAAAAUGCUUUUAUAUUUAGAUACAAUUUACUGUUAUAGAUUUCUUCAUAGGUCAUUAAGGUUUCUCAUUUAAUUUAAAGAUUUGGUCUGAGAAUGACACUAAACCUAAUGGAAAAGAGGAAAGUCUUUUUGAAAUAAGGUCAUUUGUAGCCUGGGGUCUCUUGAAUUCUAUGUUGAUAUUACCUAAUGACAUAAAUUUAAAAUAUAAAUCAUCAGUUUUCUAAGACCUGUCCUGAUUAUAGAAGGUCAGGUUUUAAAAAGUCUUCUAGCAUCUGGAUUGGGGCGGGGGGGGAGAGAGUCUUCCUUACAGAGCAGUGUAGGACUCACAAAGGGUGUUGUUUUGACAAUGUUUAUAUUUAAUUUUAUACUUUAAAAUGUCACUCUGAACACUAUGUUAAUAAUGUCUUACACAAAUAAUCUUUGUAAUGCUCACUUAAAAGGCAAACAUUUCUUCAUAAAUUGGAAAAUCCUAAGGAGCCAAACAAAUGACUUUCUUAGGAAUAAGCAAAAUCAAUUUACAAUGGAAUGUUGUGCUUGAAGCUUGGAUUUUCAAAAUAAAAAUAAAAACUAUUUAUUGGAGAGGAGAUUUUAACUGCAUAUUAUUCAAUUUUGUAUAAUUUGUGGAGUUUAUUUCUUAAAUUAUCUGGCAGUGAUUUAGAGUUAAACCUGCUCGUUUUAUUUAAAUCACAUGUUGUAUGCUCAAUCACUCCAAGUAGUUAUCAGACUACCUAGUCAUUUUCAACUUGUAUUUGAAGACCAGAAUGCAAUCUAUCUGUAUUAUUUCACCCGAAAAGCAAAUUUCACCCCUCAGCCAGAAAAUUGCAUUGGACUAUAUGUAUUUUGUGGGUUUUUCAUGACAGCUGGACAUCUUCCUGCCAAGUAACAACUUGUAGAUGCCUCUUUGCCCUAUUUAGCUGGCAGAUACCAAAGGAAUACAAGCUAAUUUUUAUACUUACCUAAAGAUAUGAGAGAGAGGCCAAAGUAGGCGAUCAAGAUGGCAGAGUAUGAGGUUGUGGACUUCACCUCCCCUCAAAAACACAUCAACACAUGGAACAAUUCUCACAGAAAACCAACUGGAAACUGGCAGAAGAUCUCUUAUACAACCAAAGCUGCAAGGAAGAUUCUCAUNNNNNNNNNNNNAAAAAAAAAAAAAAAAAAAAAAACCAUUAGGAUGGGACUGGUGCUGGUUGGGAAGACCACUGGGACAUAUAGAGGAGCUCGAGGGUCCUGGACUCUGCCCACAAGGAGUGUAUGCAUGAUGGCUUGGUACCAAUUAGAGCAGAGCUGAUGGCUGUAUCUUGCCACACUUCCCAGCCCCGAAUGCACUCCUAGUGGAGCGGCUAGUGUGCACAGUGGUGAGGUGCUGAAACUUGGACUUUAGUGGACAGACCCUGGGGUAGGAUUUGGUCUAGCUGUGUAGAGACAGCCUGGUGCACCUAGAGUGUAGUCUGGGCCUAACCUCAGGACUCAUUGUUAGCACACACAUGGCUAGUGAGGGUGUGGGCAUCUACCAUAGGAGCCACAUCAUCAGUAUGUUCAUGGCAGGGCAUGGUUCAAGCAGCAGCAGUGGAAUUUGUGAGUGCACAUACUGCAAGGGUAGGGCUGACACCUGAGCCCAUUAUCAGUACUUCCACAGUGGGGGCACAUGGGGAGUGGCUGGGGUCUGGCAGCAGGAGAUUUUGUUGACUUGAAUAUCAGCAGGAAGCAUCUACAGAACCACACAUCUCUAGUGCUACUUCUCCUGGGGAGGAGUAUCAGUAGUUCCUUUCCCAGCAAGAGCACACCAGUUCUGCCCACCUCACACUACAGCCCAGAAAUGGAUCUGGAGACUUCUAUCCCAACAACUGGGAAGCAGACCCUGUCCCUGACAAGGCUUUGACAGCCAUGGAACAAAGAGGAGGGCCCGCUCAACAUCCAGAGCAGGGUCUGGUUACCAUAACACCAGUGACAUUCUCCAUCAAGGGGAUAACAGCCAGCACACUCUGAGAGAUGUGGCAGGCAUCCAUACCAAAAACAGCUCUCCCACUAAAAAUAUUGGACUCACAUAGUCUGCAUAGAGGUGUGUCCACAUAAAAACAGCCCUUCAGGACCACAAUAGUUAACUGUUUAAUCCUAAAUUCAUAGAAACAGAGAAUUUUAAGUAAAAUGAAAAGGCAGAUGAAGUACUUUCAAUUAAAAGAACAAGAGAAAUCUUCUGAAAGAAUAAUCAAUGAAACAGACCUCACCAGUCUACUAGACCCUGAGUUCAGAAAGGAGGUAAUAAAAAUGCUAAAGGAACUAAGAAAUAUUUACUGACAUAAAUUCAGAUCACUGUAUACGGAAUUUGAAAUUUUAAAUAGGAACCAAUAAAAAUUAGACAACUCAAUUGCUGAGAUAAAAGCCAAGCUAAAAGCAGACUAAAUAAUGCAUAAAAAACAAAUACGUGAUCUAGAUUAUAAGAAUAAUGGAAAUCAAUCAAUCAUACCAGCAAACAGAACGACAAAUUUAAAAAAUGAAAGCAACAUAUGAGAUCUAUGAGAUAAUGUAAAGCAUGCCAACCUAUGAAUAAUAGGGAUCCCAGAAGGAGAAGAGAGAAGGGGAUCCAAAAUAUAUUUGAAGAAAUGGGUGGAAACUUCCCAAACCUAAACAAGGAAAUAGAUAUCCAGGAACAAGAAGCCCAGAGGGCCCCAAAAAGAUGAACCCAAACAAACCCACACCAAGACAUAUCACAAUUAAAAUGACAAAAGUUAAGGAUAUAGAGAGGAUUCUAAAGACAACAAAAGAAAAACAAAGAGUAAGUUAAAAGGAAGCCCCACCCGCAAUAGACUAUCAGGUGAUUUAUCUACAGAAAUGUUGCAGGCCAGAAGGGAGUGGCACCAUAUAUUCAAAGUCCUGAAAGGGAAAAAAGUGUGCAACUUGGGAUACCCUACCCAGCAAGAUUAUCAUUAGAAUAGGACAAAGAAUUUCUUAGACAAGCAAAAACUAAAAGAAUACAGCAAUACUAAACCUAACAUAAAAGAAAUAUUAAAGGGUAUUCUCUAAUUCAAAAAGAAACAAGAAUCUAUAGGAAAGGAAAAAACACAAUAGGAAAGGCAAAUAUAUUUAAAAAAUUGAAAAUCAAUAAGCCAGUAACAAAUCAAAAAUAACUUUAAAAAUUUGUAAAAGCAAUUGUAACUACAAUUAAUAGCAAAAGAAUAAACAUGAAGGUGUAAAAUAGGACACCAAAAUCACAAAAUGUGGGAAAGAGGAGUAAAAAAUUGUAUAUUUUUAAGAAUGUGUCUGAACGUAUAUGACUAUCAGUCUAAAGCAAGUAGAUUUAGUUCUGGGCUAACAUACUUGAAAACCAGGGUAACCGAAAACCAAAAACGUACUAUAGAUUCAUAACAACCAAAAAGAAAUGAACUCAAGCAUAAUACAAUAGAAAAACAUCAAACCA
Molecule: long non-coding RNA, 5362 nt
Filed under: Sus scrofa (pig)
Lineage: Eukaryota; Metazoa; Chordata; Mammalia; Artiodactyla; Suidae
Description: lncRNA (ENSSSCG00015071252.1)
Source: RNAcentral